GACUUUUCAGGAGCAAAUCCUUUUAUGCCUUUGUUCAGCCUUUCAGUGAUGAAAAUGCAAUAGAUACCAGUAAGACUGGAUGUUUAGAGUGCUGGAAUGCUGUGUUAGUGCUGGGCACUAAUGAUAACUCUGCUCUGGUUCCUUGGGACUUGGGAAAUCAUUUGGAGGCCAGUUGGUGGCAGCUUUUGCUGGACUCACCUUUUUCAAGCAAUUCUUCAUCCGUGGCUGUGUAUUUUGGACAGUAGGGUUGGAUACCGAAGUGUAACUUGCUGCUGGCAACCAUCCCUGAGGCUUUGGCCUUUGUUGAAGGUCACAGUGAAAUUGGUUUGCUGUUGCAGAAGAUUAAUAUUGCUUAAAAAUGGCUUGCAGAACAUUCAUCGGAAGAUUUCAAAAUCUUCACAGAAGUGGGCUUGCCACAUGUUUUCCCCUCUCCCCUCUCCACUAAAAAGGAGGGCAGAGAUGAAGUUCACUGGAUUGCCCACAUUUCUGCAGUCAGCCAGCAGGAAAACCAGCAAGAUCAUUUAG
Molecule: long non-coding RNA, 525 nt
Filed under: Corvus moneduloides (New Caledonian crow)
Lineage: Eukaryota; Metazoa; Chordata; Aves; Passeriformes; Corvidae
Description: lncRNA (ENSCMUG00000020076.1)
Source: RNAcentral